AGAGAUGUGGUUCAGAGGUUUAGAGCAUUGGAUGCUCUUCUAAAGGACCUGGGUUCAAUUCCCAGCACCACAC
This 73-nucleotide transfer RNA is filed under the name Rattus norvegicus (Norway rat). It matches the Rfam family "tRNA". From Rfam's summary of the family: Transfer RNA (tRNA) molecules are approximately 80 nucleotides in length. Their secondary structure includes four short double-helical elements and three loops (D, anti-codon, and T loops). The record is from Rfam by way of RNAcentral. Lineage: Eukaryota; Metazoa; Chordata; Mammalia; Rodentia; Muridae.